This 1418-nucleotide non-coding RNA is filed under the name Sheathia arcuata. Its description in RNAcentral is "16S ribosomal RNA". It matches the Rfam family "Bacterial small subunit ribosomal RNA". Lineage: Eukaryota; Rhodophyta; Florideophyceae; Batrachospermales; Batrachospermaceae. The record is from RNAcentral.
AAAAUUUAUUAGGGUAGUAAAUUAAGUAUAACUUAAAAAAUCACAAUUUAAAUAAGAGUUUGAUCCUGGCUCAGAAUGAACGCUAAUGAUUAGCUUAACACAUGCAAGUCAAAUAAUAAUUUAUUAUUUUUUUGGCGAACGGGUGAGUAAUACAUAAAAAUUUAUCUUAAAAAAUUAAGGAAAGUUUAUGCAAGAUUAAGUUGUUGGAGAAUUAAUCGCUUUUCCAAGCUUACAAUCUUUAGCUGGUCUUUGAGGAUGAACAGCCACAUUGGAACUGAGAUACGGUCCAAACUUUAUUAAGAGGCAGCAGUGGGGAAUCUUAGGCAAUGAGCGAAAGCUUGACCUAGCUAAAUCAUGUGUGUGAAGAAUGUUAUUAACUGUAAAGCACUUUAUUUAACCAUAUAAUUAUGAUAUUAAGUUAAAAACAAAUCCUGGCUAAUUUCGUGCCAGCAGCCGCGGUAAAACGAGAAGGGUAAGCGUUAUUCGAAUUGAUUGGGCAUAAAGGAUACGUAGACGGAAAAUUAAUUAGAAACUUAAAAGUUAAAAAUUUAAUAAUUAAAGAGAUGUUACAGUAAUUUUCUUGAGUCUGGUGGGAAGAUUAUGGAACUUCAAGUGUAACGGUAAAAUGUAUUGAUACUUGAAAGAACUUCAAUAGCGAAAGCAUUAAUCUAAACCAGUACUGACGUUAAGGUAUGAAAGCAUGGGUAGCAAAAGGGAUUAGAUACCCCUGUAGUCCAUGCCCUCAACGAUGAGUGUUAUUUUUUGGAUAGAAUUCAGAAAAAAAAUUAAUAUGUCAAACACUCCGCCUGGGGACUACGAUCGCAAGAUUAAAACUCAAAGGAAUUGACGGGGACCUGCACAAGUAGUGGAGCAUGUGGUUUAAAUCGAUAAUACGCGCAAAACCUUACCAAUUUUUGUAUGACUUAUCACAGGUGUUGCAUGGCUGUCGUCAGUCCGUGCUUUGAAGUGUUUGGUUUAUUCCAACAAACGGACGAAACUCUUUUGUAUUUUUAAGUUAAUACAUAUUGCUAAGGAUAUCUUAGAAGAAAGAAAGAAUGACGUCAAGUCCUUAUGACCUUAAUAAAUUGGGCUACUUUCAUGUGCUACAAUAGUACUUUCAAUUAGAAGCAAAAAUGAUAGUUUACGCAAAUCUAUAAAAAGUACUAUUCGAAUUGUUUUCUGCAACUUGAAAAUAUGAAGUUGGAAUUACUAGUAAUCGUAAAUAAGAAUGUUACGGUGAAUCGUUUCUCAGGUCUUGUACACACCGCCCGUCACGCUAUGGAAUUUCUUUUACUCGAAAAAUUAGUAAAUAUACUAUAUUUUACGGUAAAAUAUAAACUGAAGUGAAGUCGUAACAAGGUAGCCGUAGGGGAACCUGUGGCUGGAAAAUAAAAUCAUAUAAAAUAACUUUACUACCC